UACAGAGGGUGCGAGCGUUAAUCGGAAUUACUGGGCGUAAAGCGUGCGUAGACGGUAGCGUAAGUCAGAUGUGAAAGCCCCGGGCUCAACCUGGGAAUUGCAUUUGAGACUGCUCUGCUCGGGUGCGGAAGAGGGAAGCGGAAUUUCCGGUGUAGCGGCGAAAUGCGUAGAUACCGGAAGGAACACCAGUGGCGAAAGCGGCUUCCUGGUCCGACACCGACGUUCAGGCACGAAAGCGUGGGGAGCAAACAGG
RNAcentral lists this ribosomal RNA (253 nucleotides) under uncultured bacterium. RNAcentral describes it as "partial 16S ribosomal RNA". It matches the Rfam family "Bacterial small subunit ribosomal RNA", at positions 524 to 776 of the family's 1533-position model. The record is from RNAcentral.